UUGGUCGUGGGUUGUGGAGGCCCCAGCAGGCCAGGCGCCGUCUCACACUAGGGGCCAGCUCCACUCCCCACAACGGAGACCCCAGGGGCAUUGGGAAGGUGACCCCCAUCCAGACCUUGCAGGGAGCAGGACGGGGCUGUGGAAGGGAUUCAGGAGCUGGGGACAACUGAGGUCUCUCUACCAGACAGAUGCAGCGACCUCCUGGGCCCUGCAGCUCAGCUGCCGGGGCCCUGUCUCAGAGCUCUCAGCACUGGGAAGCCACCAGAUCGCCGGAUGGGGGAUAUGCAACCUACAGAGCCUAAUCCCGAGGUGCUAGGGACCCGCUCAGCACCUACAACUCUCACUGAGCUCCAGCUGGUGCGGCCCACCAACUCGCAUAGGAAUUGCUGCACCAGUGGGGAUCUGGUCCUGGAUCAGGCUCAAGAACUGGCUUGAUCCCUUAGGAAAAGGUCCCUGCGGUACUGCGACCUGUCAGCCACCUUUGGCUGAGAACAGAGACGUCCUCCAUGAAAGAGGAGGCACAGAGGCAGCCCACCGCCCCCCCCCCGGUUCCAGCCACUCAGUCAAGGCAUCUUUCCCCAUCCUUCCAGCCAGCCUCAGGGCGGUAAGCCCCUAGCCAGGACACAGACCUGCAGGGAGCAGCAGAUACCAGAGCUGUGCUAGGCAGAGAUAACUCCAGCAACAGGGAUAGUGGCCUCCCGCUCUGCCUCCAUGCCGACUGCUCCAACACCCCU
Chelonoidis abingdonii (Abingdon island giant tortoise) is the source of this 734-nucleotide long non-coding RNA. RefSeq lists it as uncharacterized. Lineage: Eukaryota; Metazoa; Chordata; Testudines; Testudinidae. The record is from RefSeq and is a predicted model, not a curated record.